AUGGAACAUAACAGGGAGACACGGGCGGUCUCCGGCAAGGAAGAAGUCGACAUCGAGGCCGUCGCGGGCCUGAGAGGAGAUGGUUCUGGUGUCAACUCGCAGGAUCCUGCAUGGAAACGGUUCCUGCGCCACAUUGGACCAGGCUUCAUGGUCUCCUUGGCCUACCUCGAUCCUGGAAACUUGGAAACUGAUCUCCAAGCCGGCGCCAACCACAGAUACGAGCUCCUUUGGGUGAUUCUAAUCGGCCUCGUCUUCGCGCUAAUUAUACAGUCGCUGUCAGCUAAUCUUGGCGUGGUGACAGGGAGACACCUCGCCGAGCUGUGCAAGUCAGAGUAUCCAGUAUGGGUCAAGAUCUGCUUAUGGUUACUUGCAGAGGUGGCUGUGAUUGCUGCAGAUAUCCCAGAAGUGAUAGGAACGGCAUUCGCUUUCAACCUCUUGUUCAAUAUCCCGGUAUGGAUCGGGGUUCUCAUUGCUGGCUCUAGCACGCUGCUUCUUCUUGGCCUUCAAAGAUAUGGGGUACGGAAGCUGGAGUUUUUGGUUGCGCUGCUGGUGUUCGUCAUGGCAGCAUGUUUCUUCGUGGAGAUGAGCAUCGUGAAGCCUCCGGCAAAGGAGGUGAUGAAGGGGCUAUUCAUCCCCAGGCUCAAUGGGUCCAGUGCCACCGCCGACGCCAUUGCGCUCCUUGGGGCUCUUGUAAUGCCGCACAACCUAUUCCUGCACUCUGCCCUGGUGCUGUCAAGGGACACGCCGGCAUCAGUAAGAGGAAUGAACGAUGCUUGCAGGUUCUUCCUCUUCGAGAGCGGCAUUGCGCUGUUCGUGGCUCUUCUCGUCAACAUCGCAAUCAUCUCUGUCUCUGGGACUGUCUGUAACGCGGGCAACCUCUCGCCGGAGGACGCCGCAAAGUGUGGUGACCUCACACUGGACUCGUCUUCCUUCCUACUUAAGAACGUGCUGGGCAGGUCGAGCGCGAUCGUGUACGGUGUGGCGCUCCUGGCCUCUGGGCAGAGCUCGAGUAUCACUGGCACCUAUGCGGGGCAAUAUAUCAUGCAGGGGUUCCUGGACAUCAAGAUGAAGAAGUGGGUGCGGAACCUGAUGACCCGCAGCAUCGCCAUCGUCCCCAGCUUGGUUGUCUCCAUUAUCGGAGGCUCCAGUGGCGCCGGUCGUCUCAUUAUCAUUGCAUCGAUGAUACUGUCAUUUGAGCUACCGUUCGCUCUCAUCCCGCUUCUCAAGUUCAGCAGCAGCAGGAACAAGAUGGGCCAGUGCAACAACUCAAUCUAUAUUGUAGGGUUCUCAUGGACGCUAGGAUUCAUCAUCAUCGGGAUAAACGUCUACUUCCUCAGCUCGAAAUUGAUUGGCUGGAUCCUCCACAACUCGCUGCCGACCUACGCAAACGUCCUCGUCGGCGUCACCUUGUUCCCGCUGAUGCUGCUCUACGUCGCUGCUGUCGUCUACCUCACCUUCAGGAAGGACACAGUCAAGUUCAUGUCUCGCCGCGAGCUGCAGGACAUUGACGACACUGAGAAAGCGAAGGUUGCCAACGAGGGUGGCAGCGAGGAAGACAGAGUUGUACAAUCAAACUGA
RNAcentral lists this ribosomal RNA (1578 nucleotides) under Triticum aestivum (bread wheat). RNAcentral describes it as "partial small subunit ribosomal RNA". The record is from RNAcentral. Lineage: Eukaryota; Viridiplantae; Streptophyta; Magnoliopsida; Poales; Poaceae.